CUACGUGCCAGCAGCCGCGGUAAUACGUAGGUCCCGAGCGUUGUCCGGAUUUAUUGGGCGUAAAGCGAGCGCAGGCGGUUAGAUAAGUCUGAAGUUAAAGGCUGUGGCUUAACCAUAGUACGCUUUGGAAACUGUUUAACUUGAGUGCAAGAGGGGAGAGUGGAAUUCCAUGUGUAGCGGUGAAAUGCGUAGAUAUAUGGAGGAACACCGGUGGCGAAAGCGGCUCUCUGGCUUGUAACUGACGCUGAGGCUCGAAAGCGUGGGGAGCAAACAGGAUUAGAUACCCUGGUAGUCCACGCCGUAAACGAUGAGUGCUAGGUGUUAGACUCUUUCCGGGGUUUAGUGCCGCAGCUAACGCAUUAAGCACUCCGCCUGGGGAGUACGACCGCAAGGUUGAAACUCAAAGGAAUUGACGGGGGCCCGCACAAGCGGUGGAGCAUGUGGUUUAAUUCGGAGCAACGCGAAGAACCUUACCAGGUCUUGACAUCCCUCUGACCGCUCUAGAGAUAGAGUUUUC
Molecule: ribosomal RNA, 517 nt
Filed under: uncultured bacterium
Lineage: Bacteria
Description: bacterial SSU rRNA
Rfam family: Bacterial small subunit ribosomal RNA
Source: RNAcentral